AAAACGUCAACGAAAACGACCAUGUAAUUCCAAAUUAAAUUGUAUACGAUCUAUAUCUGCUUCUUCGAAUCGCCAAAAUUUGAACUCCAGCCAGAAUCAAAGGAAGCAAGCAGAAAAUCGAAAUCAAAAUGACGUCAUCGAGGAGCCAAUGUAUUGCAACAUAGAGCUUCUGACUAAACAUGACAUGGACUCCUGCAGGUUGAAAAAACCACAUCUUGACGAAGCCAUUGUUUCAAAGAAGUCAAUCCCUAGCGUAACAAAGGUUAUGUCAAAUGAUACUCUGAUAUAUGAAGAUACGAAUUCCAAUAAUGACGUUGACGCUGAGUCUGCUUCGAGGAAGAAACUGUUGCGCGUUAAA
Molecule: long non-coding RNA, 358 nt
Organism: Saccostrea cuccullata (small rock oyster)
Lineage: Eukaryota; Metazoa; Mollusca; Bivalvia; Ostreida; Ostreidae
Exons: 3
Source: RefSeq, a predicted model, not a curated record